RNAcentral lists this ribosomal RNA (641 nucleotides) under Blastococcus sp. I12A-02924. RNAcentral's name for it is "bacterial SSU rRNA". It matches the Rfam family "Bacterial small subunit ribosomal RNA", at positions 87 to 739 of the family's 1533-position model. The record is from RNAcentral. Lineage: Bacteria; Bacillati; Actinomycetota; Actinomycetes; Geodermatophilales; Geodermatophilaceae.
GGGGAUCAGUGGCGAACGGGUGAGUAACACGUGGGCAACCUGCCCCCGGCUCUGGGAUAACUCCAAGAAAUUGGGGCUAAUACCGGAUGUGACUGCUGACCGCAUGGUCUGGUGGUGGAAAGAUUUAUCGGCUGGGGAUGGGCCCGCGGCCUAUCAGCUUGUUGGUGGGGUGAUGGCCUACCAAGGCGACGACGGGUAGCCGGCCUGAGAGGGUGACCGGCCACACUGGGACUGAGACACGGCCCAGACUCCUACGGGAGGCAGCAGUGGGGAAUAUUGCGCAAUGGGCGGAAGCCUGACGCAGCGACGCCGCGUGGGGGAUGACGGCCUUCGGGUUGUAAACCUCUUUCAGCAGGGACGAAGCCGUGAGGUGACGGUACCUGCAGAAGAAGCACCGGCCAACUACGUGCCAGCAGCCGCGGUAAUACGUAGGGUGCAAGCGUUGUCCGGAAUUAUUGGGCGUAAAGAGCUCGUAGGCGGUCUGUCGCGUCGGCUGUGAAAACCCGGAGCUCAACUCCGGGCCUGCAGUCGAUACGGGCAAACUGGAGUGUUGCAGGGGAGACUGGAAUUCCUGGUGUAGCGGUGAAAUGCGCAGAUAUCAGGAGGAACACCGGUGGCGAAGGCGGGUCUCUGGGCAACAA